UAACGGUAUUUGCGAACAGGUGCCUUCGUACCCCCAGAUGGGUCGAGGUGAAAAGGGAAGUCGGUGCAAGUCCGGCGCGGUCCCGCCACUGUAAAACAGGUGUACCACUAUGAAUGGUACGCCCGUAAGCCAGGAGACCUGCCUGUUUGCUUGUGUGCUG
RNAcentral lists this non-coding RNA (160 nucleotides) under Brevibacillus choshinensis. The record is from RNAcentral. Lineage: Bacteria; Bacillati; Bacillota; Bacilli; Caryophanales; Paenibacillaceae.